RNAcentral lists this ribosomal RNA (463 nucleotides) under uncultured bacterium. RNAcentral's name for it is "partial 16S ribosomal RNA". It matches the Rfam family "Bacterial small subunit ribosomal RNA", at positions 29 to 507 of the family's 1533-position model. The record is from RNAcentral.
ACGAACGCUGGCGGCGUGCUUAACACAUGCCAGUCGAACGGUAAGGCCCUUUCGGGGGUACACGAGUGGCGAACGGGUGAGUAACACGUGGGUGAUCUGCCCUGCACUUUGGGAUAAGCCUGGGAAACUGGGUCUAAUACCGGAUAGGACUACGCGAUGCAUGUCGUGUGGUGGAAAGCUUUUGCGGUGUGGGAUGGGCCCGCGGCCUAUCAGCUUGUUGGUGGGGUGAUGGCCUACCAAGGCGACGACGGGUAGCCGGCCUGAGAGGGUGUCCGGCCACACUGGGACUGAGAUACGGCCCAGACUCCUACGGGAGGCAGCAGUGGGGAAUAUUGCACAAUGGGCGCAAGCCUGAUGCAGCGACGCCGCGUGGGGGAUGACGGCCUUCGGGUUGUAAACCCCUUUCAGCACAGACGAAGCGUAAGUGACGGUAGGUGCAGAAGAAGCACCGGCCAACUACGUG